AUGGCGGAAUGCUUCAAUAGGGUGCUCAAAGGUGCACGUGGAUUACCCGUGACGGCAAUAGUUCAAUACACAUUUGACAAGAUGAAUGCGUACUUUGUAAAGUACUCGAUGGAAACCGAUGCACAAAUAGCGGGUGAGAACCCACGGAAGUACAAGUACAAGUUCCCACCCAAAGUUGAUGAAUGGUUGGUAUUUCAAUCACGGAAGGCGGACUCAGAAGAAGAUAUAUUAUAUGACAAUGAAGAGUGGAAGUACGAAGUGAAAGAGCCAGGAGGAACCACAAACGAUGGCCGGCAACAUGGAGGUCGGGCUUUCAAGGUGUCGUUAACACAAUGUGAUUGCACUUGCGGGAGGCCGUUGUUGCUUCAUCUCCCAUGCUCACACUUGUAUACCGCCGGUCGCGUUAGGAAUGUGGACAUCAAUCACCCACGCACCGUGAGGGAGUCGGAGUUCUCAAUCAUGACAGUCAAGAAAACAUGGGCUCCCCGCUUUCACCCGUACUUUGACCAAUCACAAUGGCCGGAGUAUCAUGGAGUUCAACUAUGGCCGGAUCCG
This 555-nucleotide ribosomal RNA is filed under the name Triticum aestivum (bread wheat). RNAcentral's name for it is "partial small subunit ribosomal RNA". Lineage: Eukaryota; Viridiplantae; Streptophyta; Magnoliopsida; Poales; Poaceae. The record is from RNAcentral.